Molecule: long non-coding RNA, 1969 nt
Organism: Bos taurus (domestic cattle)
Lineage: Eukaryota; Metazoa; Chordata; Mammalia; Artiodactyla; Bovidae
Source: Ensembl
GCAGGGAGAGCUGAGCGGAGAGGCGAGAUGGGUGGCUGUCGCCGCUCCUGCUUCUCCUCGCCGCCUCUUCGGCCGCCCUUCUGGCCACCGGCGCCCAUUCUUCCUGACCCGGGCCUCUGGCCCAUACCGUGUACUCCACGUUCAUGUUCGAGGCCACUUUGGCUCCGCUAGGUGGGCUUGCGAGUCCGCGCACCCGCACGCGGCGCCUGGCGCACCCGCUUCGGCGGACGGAGCUGGCCCGACUCCUCGCCUUGGUGUUCCCCUCCCGCAGCAGGAGAUCGGGGGCGCCGAGAACCGGAACGCAGGGGACCCUCAGGCCUCCGGGGCCGCACACCGGCUCCGCACACGCCAGCGUAGCGCCCCCGAAACGCGCCUGGCCUCCAGCUCAGCGCUGAGCAGAGGGCGGCCUCGAACCCGGACUUGGACACUUGUAAACCUUGGAGCAGCAUCGCACGUCGUGUUCCACGAACGACUGUUGCUGACUCAUAGGGAGAUUUCCCGGGAUUCCUGCCCAGGGCCAGCAAACCUCUCAGUGGGCUCCCCGCAGAGUCCAGGGCAGCCACAGACCAGGGGUCACAGGCUCUUGUGUGGUCACCCACCUAGGCACCUUAAAACCAAGGUCCCCUUGGACUCCAGGCCCGGCAAAGUCUCCUCCCAGGACAAGGGGCCACCUUCAUAUGCAGCUGAGAGCGCCCUGCGGACCCCUGCCCGCUGCCCACCAAGCUGCCUGCAGUUGAGGCCCCUCUCAGCCAAGGGCCAUCCAGCAGGAGCAGACAGAAGCCCACAGACCCUCAUCUUCUCAUGGACCAUGAAGCUGGGGUCUGCGCCGAGCACUCCCUGGUCAGCAGAGAGCAGCAGUCCCCUCACAUUAAGGGCCCCCCGAAACUCCAUCUGCCUGCACGGCCUCCUUCCAACCUCUCUGCACCUGGCAAUGCCUUUGGCGGGGGGCUGCCCCUGGCCUGCCCUCAGAAUGCCACGUGCGCUCGCCCACCUGUAUUCUCCAGCCCCUUUGUUCCCAAGAUGGGCUCCCCACUCAGCCAAGGGAAACCUCCCUCUCGCAGAGAGGCCCACCUGCAUCUCCACAGCCCUGCAGACCCUCCCUCCAGGCCUUCCAACACUGACCCUUCACCCCCUCAAGGGCAGCGGCUAGCCCCCUGGCAAUCCGAAAUGCUGAAGUGGGGAGCAAAGCUAGCUCUGGCAGAAGGAAGACAACAGAAACAGGAUGCACUUACAAGCAGUUGCUGGGCCACGUCGCAUUAGGGCUCCCAGGGAGAAAAAUGCCAACUUCGGCCCCUAGGCCCGGGAUCCAGGUCCUCACCCAGUCGGGAGCAAUCCGAGACCACUGGCCUAGGCAGGCCUCGGCCUUCCACCGUGGGGGCUGGGUAGGCGGCUGUCUGUGCAGACGUUGGUGGUGGCUGCGUCCCUGGGAGACAGGCUCGGGAAAGCCAGCACCUCGUGGCCGGAGCUUGGAGCCGUGCAGGGUGUAGUCCCCUGGUGGGUCUCUGCCGAGGCGCUGAUGGGCCGCGGGCCUGGAGACCUCUGGCCUAGGACCAGGUUUAGCCGGCUCUUCUGGUGCUGUGUCACCUGGGGUGUCUUGGUUUUCUGGAGAGUUCUCUCCAGCGGGUGAGAGGGAUUCCCUGCCUUAGAACAGGAGGAGCUGGAAGAGCUGCCGAACUGGACUGAAACUCAUGGAUAAAGCUUUGUAUGAGUUUGACAGGAAACUUAAAUCUGCGAAGACAGCUUUUCACAGAAAGAGGGACAUUAUUAAAAUCUGUCCAGGGAAGUGUCUGAACUGAAGGAAUUGCUCAGAAUGUCUGAAGAAAACAACCAAAGGUGGAAACAUCUGUUUCAGCUGUUCCGGGAAGGACAGGUGUCCCUGCACGUGGCUGACGCUGAGCAGGGCACCCGUGGCCAUGUCCCAGGAGAGCCCCAGGCCCCACGCACAGAGAACUUGUUGGCUGAGCUGGGG